Pelobates cultripes (western spadefoot toad) is the source of this 260-nucleotide non-coding RNA. The record is from the annotation of a GenBank genome assembly. Lineage: Eukaryota; Metazoa; Chordata; Amphibia; Anura; Pelobatidae.
AAUAAGUAGAGCCACAUAUCUAAAGAAACGAUCAGAAAAAGAAAUUAUGCAAUGCGAACAAAAACUGGCAGUGCUUCACAAAGAUAACCAAAAGCAACCAUCAGCAGAGCACAAAACGCAAAUCAAUACACUCCAAAACAAACUCAAUGAGAUUAGACUCCACAAAUUCGGCCUCAUGCUGAAGCGCCUAAACACUCGCACAUACGUCCAAGGAAACAGAGCCAGUAAGCUUGUAGCACAACACUUAAGAGAGAGACAGC